CCUACGGGUGGCAGCAGUGGGGAAUAUUGGGCAAUGGGCGCAAGCCUGACCCAGCAACGCCGCGUGAAUGAAGAAGGCUUUCGGGAUGUAAACUUCUAUUCUCAGGGACGAAGAAAGUGACGGUAGCUUAGGAAUCAGCGACUGCUAACUACGUGCCAGCCGCCGUGGUAAUACGUAGGGGGCAAGCGUUAUCCGGUUUUAUUGGGUGUAAAGGGCGUGUAGGCGGUGGCGCAAGUCAGAUGUGAAAACUCAGGGCUCAACCCCGAGCCUGCAUUUGAAACUGUGUUUCUUGAGUGCUGGAGAGGCAAUCGGAAUUCCGGGUGUAGCGGUGAAAUGCGGAGAUAUACGGAGGAACACCAGUGGCGAAGGCGGAUUGCUGGACAGUAACUGACGCUGAGGCGCGAAAGCGUGGGGAGCAAACAGGAUUAGAUACCCCUGUAGUC
This 443-nucleotide ribosomal RNA is filed under the name uncultured bacterium. RNAcentral's name for it is "partial 16S ribosomal RNA". It matches the Rfam family "Bacterial small subunit ribosomal RNA", at positions 338 to 795 of the family's 1533-position model. The record is from RNAcentral.